UAGGGAAUCUUCCGCAAUGGACGAAAGUCUGACGGCGCAACGCCGCGUGAGCGAAGAAGGGCCUUCGGGUCGUAAAGCUCUGUUGUUAGGGAAGAACAAGUUACGAGAGUAACUGCUCGUACCUUGACGGUACCUAACCAGAAAGCCACGGCUAACUACGUGCCAGCAGCCGCGGUAAUACGUAGGUGGCAAGCGUUGUCCGGAAUUAUUGGGGCGUAAAGCGCGCGCAGGCGGUCCUUUAAGUCUGAUGUGAAAGCCCACGGCUCAACCGUGGAGGGUCAUUGGAAACUGGGGGACUUGAGUGCAGAAGAGGAGAGUGGAAUUCCACGUGUAGCGGUGAAAUGCGUAGAGAUGUGGAGGAACACCAGUGGCGAAGGCGACUCUCUGGUCUGGUAACUGACGCUUGAGGCGCGAAAGCGUGGGGAGCAAACAGGAUUAGAUACCCUGGUAGCCC
This 454-nucleotide ribosomal RNA is filed under the name uncultured Bacillota bacterium. RNAcentral's name for it is "bacterial SSU rRNA". It matches the Rfam family "Bacterial small subunit ribosomal RNA", at positions 355 to 796 of the family's 1533-position model. The record is from RNAcentral. Lineage: Bacteria; Bacillati; Bacillota.